GACGAACGCUGGCGGCGUGCUUAACACAUGCAAGUCGAACGGUGAAGGGACCAGCUUGCUGGUUCUGGAUGAGUGGCGAACGGGUGAGUAACACGUGAGUAACCUGCCCCCUUCUUCUGGAUAACCGCAUGAAAGUGUGGCUAAUACGGGAUAUUCUGGGUCUGUCGCAUGGCGGGCCCGGGAAAGAUAUUGCUUCGGUGGGGGAUGGGCUCGCGGCCUAUCAGCUUGUUGGUGGGGGGAUGGCCUACCAAGGCGGUGACGGGUAGCCGGCCUGAGAGGGGGGACGCUCACACUGGGACUGGGACACGGCCCAGACUCCUACGGGAGGCAGCAGUGGGGAAUAUUGCACAAUGGGCGCAAGCCUGAUGCAGCGACGCCGCGUGAGGGAGGGAGGCCUUCGGGGUGUAAUCCUCUUUCGCCAGUGAAGCAGGCCUGCUCCUUGUGGGUGGGUUGACGGUAGCUGGAUAAGAAGCGCCGGCUAACUACGUG
This 489-nucleotide ribosomal RNA is filed under the name uncultured bacterium. RNAcentral's name for it is "partial 16S ribosomal RNA". It matches the Rfam family "Bacterial small subunit ribosomal RNA", at positions 28 to 507 of the family's 1533-position model. The record is from RNAcentral.